RNAcentral lists this ribosomal RNA (460 nucleotides) under uncultured Latescibacterota bacterium. Its description in RNAcentral is "bacterial SSU rRNA". It matches the Rfam family "Bacterial small subunit ribosomal RNA", at positions 923 to 1382 of the family's 1533-position model. Lineage: Bacteria; Pseudomonadati; Candidatus Latescibacterota. The record is from RNAcentral.
GCGACAAGCGGUGAGCAUGUGGUUAAUUCGAUGAUACGCGAGAACCUUACCGGGGUUUGACAUGCAGGUGAUCGCCGUUGAAAGACGGGUUUCCUCUUCGGAGGCACCUGCACAGGUGCUGCAUGGCUGUCGUCAGCUCGUGUCGUGAGAUGUUGGGUUAAGUCCCGCAACGAGCGCAACCCUUAUCCCCAGUUGCCAUCAGGUAAAGCUGGGAACUCUGGGGAGACUGCCGGUGAUAAACCGGAGGAAGGCGGGGAUGACGUCAAGUCCUCAUGGCCCUUACAUCCCGGGCUACACACGUGCUACAAUGGCAGGUACAGAGGGCUGCGAAGCCGCGAGGUGGAGCGAAUCCCAGAAAACCUGUCUCAGUCCGGAUUGAAGUCUGCAACUCGACUUCAUGAAGGCGGAAUCGCUAGUAACCGCGAAUCAGCAGGUCGCGGUGAAUACGUUCCCGGGCCUU